This 76-nucleotide transfer RNA is filed under the name Methylothermaceae bacteria B42. RNAcentral describes it as "tRNA-Lys". It matches the Rfam family "tRNA". Rfam says of the family: Transfer RNA (tRNA) molecules are approximately 80 nucleotides in length. Their secondary structure includes four short double-helical elements and three loops (D, anti-codon, and T loops). Further hydrogen bonds mediate the characteristic L-shaped molecular structure. tRNAs have two regions of fundamental functional importance: the anti-codon, which is responsible for specific mRNA codon recognition, and the 3' end, to which the tRNAs corresponding amino acid is attached (by aminoacyl-tRNA synthetases). tRNAs cope with the degeneracy of the genetic code in two manners: having more than one tRNA (with a specific anti-codon) for a particular amino acid; and 'wobble' base-pairing, i.e. permitting non-standard base-pairing at the 3rd anti-codon position. Lineage: Bacteria; Pseudomonadati; Pseudomonadota; Gammaproteobacteria; Methylococcales; Methylothermaceae. RNAcentral also lists the same sequence under 1 other name. The record is from RNAcentral.
GGGCCGUUAGCUCAGUUGGUAGAGCACCGCACUUUUAAUGCGAUGGUCGCUGGUUCGAAUCCAGCACGGCCCAUCA